GACGAACGCUGGCGGCGUGCCUAAUACAUGCAAGUAGAACGCUGAAGAGAGGAGCUUGCUCUUCUUGGAUGAGUUGCGAACGGGUGAGUAACGCGUAGGUAACCUGCCUUGUAGCGGGGGAUAACUAUUGGAAACGAUAGCUAAUACCGCAUAACAAUGGAUGACACAUGUCAUUUAUUUGAAAGGGGCAAUUGCUCCACUAAAAGAUGGACCUGCGUUGUAUUAGCUAGUAGGUGAGGUAAUGGCUCACCUAGGCGACGAUACAUAGCCGACCUGAGAGGGGGAACGGCCACACUGGGACUGGGACACGGCCCAGACUCCUACGGGAGGCAGCAGUAGGGAAUCUUCGGCAAUGGGGGCAACCCUGACCAAGAAACGCAGCGUGAGUGAAGAAGAUUUUCGUGUCGUAAAGCACUGUUGUAAGUCAAGAACGGGUGUGAGAGUGGAAAGUUCACACUGUGACGGUAACUUAACAGAAAGGGACGGCUAACUACGUG
This 497-nucleotide ribosomal RNA is filed under the name uncultured bacterium. RNAcentral describes it as "partial 16S ribosomal RNA". It matches the Rfam family "Bacterial small subunit ribosomal RNA", at positions 28 to 507 of the family's 1533-position model. The record is from RNAcentral.